GGAAUCCAUUGUUGCUGCACAUGUAAAUCAUGGCCUUCAAAUCCAGCUGACCCUGUAGCAGAAACACAGAACUUGGUUACCAGUGAUUUUUAUCUGCAUUGGAUCUACUUUAAUAAACCCCACAGCCUGAAUAGCAGCUACUAGGGUAGUGCCAGUGGAUGUAUAUGGAGACUGGGCUGGAAUGGCUGAGUGUGUGGGUGCGCAGCUGGGAGCAGCCAUGGCAGUAAG
RNAcentral lists this long non-coding RNA (228 nucleotides) under Homo sapiens (human). RNAcentral's name for it is "non-protein coding LINC02252:5". The record is from RNAcentral. Lineage: Eukaryota; Metazoa; Chordata; Mammalia; Primates; Hominidae.